Molecule: ribosomal RNA, 253 nt
Filed under: uncultured bacterium
Lineage: Bacteria
Description: partial 16S ribosomal RNA
Rfam family: Bacterial small subunit ribosomal RNA
Source: RNAcentral
UACGGAGGGUGCAAGCGUUAUUCGGAAUUAUUGGGCGUAAAGGGCGCGUAGGCGGCCUCUUAAGUCAGAUGUGAAAGCCCGGGGCUUAACCCCGGAAGUGCAUUUGAAACUAAGGGGCUUGAGUAUGGGAGAGGGGAGUGGAAUUCCUGGUGUAGAGGUGAAAUUCGUAGAUAUCAGGAGGAACACCGGUGGCGAAGGCGACUUCCUGGACCAAUACUGACGCUGAGGCGCGAAGGCGUGGGGAGCAAACAGG